Molecule: ribosomal RNA, 391 nt
Filed under: Segatella salivae
Lineage: Bacteria; Pseudomonadati; Bacteroidota; Bacteroidia; Bacteroidales; Prevotellaceae
Description: bacterial SSU rRNA
Rfam family: Bacterial small subunit ribosomal RNA
Source: RNAcentral
GCUGACAGCAGUAGCGUGCAGGAUGACGGCCCUAUGGGUUGUAAACUGCUUUUAUGUGGGGAUAAAGUGAGCUACGUGUAGUUUAUUGCAGGUACCACAUGAAUAAGGACCGGCUAAUUCCGUGCCAGCAGCCGCGGUAAUACGGAAGGUCCAGGCGUUAUCCGGAUUUAUUGGGUUUAAAGGGAGCGUAGGCCGUGGAUUAAGCGUGUUGUGAAAUGUAGACGCUCAACGUCUGAAUUGCAGCGCGAACUGGUUCACUUGAGUAUGCACAACGUAGGCGGAAUUCGUCGUGUAGCGGUGAAAUGCUUAGAUAUGACGAAGAACUCCGAUUGCGAAGGCAGCUUACGGGAGCACAACUGACGCUGAAGCUCGAAGGUGCGGGUAUCAAACA